Molecule: ribosomal RNA, 383 nt
Filed under: uncultured Desulfobulbus sp.
Lineage: Bacteria; Pseudomonadati; Thermodesulfobacteriota; Desulfobulbia; Desulfobulbales; Desulfobulbaceae
Description: bacterial SSU rRNA
Rfam family: Bacterial small subunit ribosomal RNA
Source: RNAcentral
GGACGAAGGACUUACUCUUCGGAGUGAGAGCGUACACAGGUGCUGCAUGGCUGUCGUCAGCUCGUGUCGUGAGAUGUUGGGUUAAGUCCCGCAACGAGCGCAACCCUGCAUUCAGUUGCCAUCGGUAAGGCCGGGCACUCUGGAAUGGACUGCCGGCGACAAGCCGGAGGAAGGUGGGGAUGACGUCAAGUCCUCAUGGCCUUUAUGACCAGGGCUACACACGUACUACAAUGGCCGAUACAAAGGGCAGCGACACUGCGAGGUGAAGCCAAUCCCGUAAAAUCGGUCUCAGUCCGGAUUGGAGUCUGCAACUCGACUCCAUGAAGUUGGAAUCGCUAGUAAUCGUGGAUCAGCAUGCCACGGUGAAUACGUUCCCGGGCCUU